Molecule: ribosomal RNA, 253 nt
Filed under: uncultured bacterium
Lineage: Bacteria
Description: partial 16S ribosomal RNA
Rfam family: Bacterial small subunit ribosomal RNA
Source: RNAcentral
UACGAAGGGGGCUAGCGUUGUUCGGAAUCACUGGGCGUAAAGCGUGCGCAGGCGGUGAUGUAAGACAGAUGUGAAAUCCCCGGGCUCAACCCCGGAACUGCCUUCGAUACUGCUGGUCUGGAGUCCGAGAGAGGUGAGUGGAAUUCCGAGUGUAGAGGUGAAAUUCGUAGAUAUUCGGAGGAACACCAGUGGCGAAGGCGGCUCACUGGCUCGGUACUGACGCUGAGGUGCGAAAGCGUGGGGAGCAAACAGG